This 198-nucleotide ribosomal RNA is filed under the name uncultured bacterium. RNAcentral's name for it is "partial 16S ribosomal RNA". It matches the Rfam family "Bacterial small subunit ribosomal RNA", at positions 328 to 544 of the family's 1533-position model. The record is from RNAcentral.
ACGCUCGACACCUACGGGAGGCAGCAGUGGGGAAUAUUGCACAAUGGGGGAAACCCUGAUGCAGCAACGCCGCGUGAGUGAAGAAGUAUUUCGGUAUGUAAAGCUCUAUCAGCAGGGAAGAUAAUGACGGUACCUGACUAAGAAGCUCCGGCUAAAUACGUGCCACAGCCGCGGUAAUCUGAGCGGGCGUGGCAAGGC